ACGGAGGAUCCAAGCGUUAUCCGGAUUUAUUGGGUUUAAAGGGUGCGUAGGCGGCUUUUUAAGUCAGUGGUGAAAGUUUUCAGCUCAACUGAAAAAUUGCCAUUGAUACUGAGGAGCUUGAGUACAGAUGAGGUGGGCGGAAUGAGUCAAGUAGCGGUGAAAUGCAUAGAUAUGACUCAGAACACCAAUUGCGAAGGCAGCUCACUAAAGUGUAACUGACGCUGAGGCACGAAAGCGUGGGGAUCGAACAGGAUUAGAUACCCUGGUAGUCCACGCCCUAAACGAUGAUUACUCGCUGUUAGCGAUAUACAGUUAGCGGCAAAGCGAAAGCAUUAAGUAAUCCACCUGGGGAGUACGCCCGCAAGGGUG
RNAcentral lists this ribosomal RNA (369 nucleotides) under uncultured bacterium. RNAcentral's name for it is "bacterial SSU rRNA". It matches the Rfam family "Bacterial small subunit ribosomal RNA", at positions 525 to 896 of the family's 1533-position model. The record is from RNAcentral.